This 468-nucleotide ribosomal RNA is filed under the name uncultured bacterium. RNAcentral describes it as "partial 16S ribosomal RNA". It matches the Rfam family "Bacterial small subunit ribosomal RNA", at positions 28 to 507 of the family's 1533-position model. The record is from RNAcentral.
GACGAACGCUGGCGGUGUGCUUAGCACAUGCGAGUCGAACGGUAAGGCCCUUUCGGGGGUACACGGGUGGCGAACGGGUGAGUAACACGUGAGUAACCUGCCCUCAUCUCUGGGAUAACAGUCGGAAACGGUUGCUAAUACUGGAUAUGAGCUUGCAAGGCAUCUUGUGGGUUGGAAAGAUUUUUUUUGGUUGGGGAUGGACUCGCGGCCUAUCAGCUUGUUGGUGAGGUAGUGGCUCACCAAGGCUUCGACGGGUAGCCGGCCUGAGAGGGCGACCGGCCACAUUGGGACUGAGAUACGGCCCAAACUCCUACGGGAGGCAGCAGUGGGGAAUAUUGCACAAUGGACGGAAGUCUGAUGCAGCAACGCCGCGUGCGGGAUGACGGCCUUCGGGUUGUAAACCGCUUUCAAUUGUGACGAAGCUUUUUUGUGACGGUAGCAGUAGAAGAAGCACCGGCUAACUACGUG